Molecule: ribosomal RNA, 594 nt
Filed under: Streptococcus mutans
Lineage: Bacteria; Bacillati; Bacillota; Bacilli; Lactobacillales; Streptococcaceae
Description: bacterial SSU rRNA
Rfam family: Bacterial small subunit ribosomal RNA
Source: RNAcentral
CUGACCGAGCAACGCCGCGUGAGUGAAGAAGGUUUUCGGAUCGUAAAGCUCUGUUGUAAGUCAAGAACGUGUGUGAGAGUGGAAAGUUCACACAGUGACGGUAGCUUACCAGAAAGGGACGGCUAACUACGUGCCAGCAGCCGCGGUAAUACGUAGGUCCCGAGCGUUGUCCGGAUUUAUUGGGCGUAAAGGGAGCGCAGGCGGUCAGGAAAGUCUGGAGUAAAAGGCUAUGGCUCAACCAUAGUGUGCUCUGGAAACUGUCUGACUUGAGUGCAGAAGGGGAGAGUGGAAUUCCAUGUGUAGCGGUGAAAUGCGUAGAUAUAUGGAGGAACACCAGUGGCGAAAGCGGCUCUCUGGUCUGUCACUGACGCUGAGGCUCGAAAGCGUGGGUAGCGAACAGGAUUAGAUACCCUGGUAGUCCACGCCGUAAACGAUGAGUGCUAGGUGUUAGGCCCUUUCCGGGGCUUAGUGCCGGAGCUAACGCAAUAAGCACUCCGCCUGGGGAGUACGACCGCAAGGUUGAAACUCAAAGGAAUUGACGGGGGCCCGCACAGGCGGUGGAGCAUGUGGUUUAAUUCGAAGCAACGCGAAGAA